This 253-nucleotide ribosomal RNA is filed under the name uncultured bacterium. RNAcentral's name for it is "partial 16S ribosomal RNA". It matches the Rfam family "Bacterial small subunit ribosomal RNA", at positions 524 to 776 of the family's 1533-position model. The record is from RNAcentral. RNAcentral also lists the same sequence under 1 other name.
UACGUAGGUGGCGAGCGUUGUCCGGAUUUACUGGGUGUAAAGGGCGCGUAGGCGGGGCGGCAAGUCCGAUGUGAAAUCCCGCGGCUUAACUGCGGAACUGCAUCGGAAACUGCCGUCCUUGAGUAUCAGAGGGGAAAGCGGAAUUCCUAGUGUAGCGGUGAAAUGCGUAGAUAUUAGGAGGAACACCGGUGGCGAAGGCGGCUUUCUGGCUGAAAACUGACGCUGAUGCGCGAAAGCGUGGGGAGCAAACAGG